This 610-nucleotide ribosomal RNA is filed under the name uncultured soil bacterium. RNAcentral describes it as "bacterial SSU rRNA". It matches the Rfam family "Bacterial small subunit ribosomal RNA", at positions 34 to 679 of the family's 1533-position model. The record is from RNAcentral.
CGCUGGCGGCAGGCCUAACACAUGCUAAGUCGAACGAGAAGCCACCUUCGGGUGGUGGACAGUGGCAGACGGGUGAGUAACGCGUGGGAACGUGCCUUUCGGUUCGGAAUAACCCAGGGAAACUUGGGCUAAUACCGGAUACGCCCUUCGGGGGAAAGAUUCAUUGCCGAAAGAUCGGCCCGCGUCGGAUUAGCUAGUUGGUGGGGUAAUGGCUCACCAAGGCGACGAUCCGUAGCUGGUCUGAGAGGAUGACCAGCCACACUGGGACUGAGACACGGCCCAGACUCCUACGGGAGGCAGCAGUGGGGAAUAUUGGACAACGGGCGAAAGCCUGAUCCAGCCAUGCCACGUGGGUGAAGAAGGCCUUAGGGUUGUAAACCCCUUUCAGCGGGGAAGAUAAUGACGGUACCCGCAGAAGAAGUCCCGGCUAACUCCGUGCCAGCAGCCGCGGUAAUACGGAGGGGACUAGCGUUGUUCGGAAUUACUGGGCGUAAAGCGCACGUAGGCGGAUUUGUAAGUCAGGGGUGAAAUCCCGGGGCUCAACCUCGGAACUGCCUUUGAUACUGCAAAUCUCGAGUCCGGAAGAGGUGAGUGGAAUUCCUAGUGUAGA